CGGGGGAUCUUCGGACCUCGCGCCAUUAGAUGAGCCUAGGUCGGAUUAGCUAGUUGGUGAGGUAAUGGCUCACCAAGGCGACGAUCCGUAACUGGUCUGAGAGGAUGAUCAGUCACGCUGGAACUGAGACACGGUCCAGACUCCUACGGGAGGCAGCAUGGGGAAUAUUGGACAAUGGCGAAAGCCUGAUCCAGCCAUGCCGCGGUGUGUGAAGAAGGUCUUCGGAUUGUAAAGCACUUUAAGUUGGGAGGAAGGGUAGUAACCUAAUACGUUGCUACUUUGACGUUACCGACAGAAUAAGCACCGGCUAACUUCGUG
RNAcentral lists this ribosomal RNA (318 nucleotides) under uncultured bacterium. Its description in RNAcentral is "bacterial SSU rRNA". It matches the Rfam family "Bacterial small subunit ribosomal RNA", at positions 202 to 507 of the family's 1533-position model. The record is from RNAcentral.